UCAUUAUCACCAAUCGAGCCUCGCUCGGUGUUGGGCGAUCGCGGCCCCCCUGACCGCGCGCCUCCAAAGUCCUCCCGGCCGGUGUUCCGUCUCGAAGCGUUGUGGCAACCCAACCCGCUUGCGAGUGUCGCGACCCCGACGCCGUUAAACCCCCCCACAAGGUUGACCUCGGAUCAGGUAGGGAUACCCGCUGAACUUAA
This 200-nucleotide unclassified non-coding RNA is filed under the name soil metagenome. Its description in RNAcentral is "partial contains internal transcribed spacer 2 and large subunit ribosomal RNA". The record is from RNAcentral.